UUACACAGAGUUACAUAGUUACUGACUCAAAACCUCAACUAAACAUCAGCUCCCAAAUUGAGUGUUUGAAUUUUUAGAGGUGCCGUGUCUGUCUGUCCAUCACACUUGCAUGUAUACUUCUGUCUUAAGAAACACAUGUUCAGUUGUGAUGAAAUCUGGUCUGGACAUUCUUUAGCAUAACUAUUGAGUGUCUGUCUCUGGGGAUUUAUGUAGGCUUCUGCCCUUAAGUCACAUUUACAUUUCAUGUUUGUUGCUAAUGACUGCAAUUUUGUAUUUCCAGCUGUGCAUGUCACUGACACCCCCUCAGCAUCCAAUGGUGAUGAAAUCCUUUACUCUACGAUUGACUUAAAGAAUACAAAGCCAGCUAAACCCAGAUCAAAACGCGACUGUGAUGUCCUGUACUCUGCUGUCCUUGUCAAGAAGCAAGAAGAUAACCCCAGUGCUGCAGACAACAGUGAUGCCCUUUAUUCAGAGCUCGACAUGAAGAAUGUGAAGAAGAAGGGUAUGAAAUCUCUUUCCUCCCCUCAACCCUCUGUAUUGGACAGGCUUCCUAAUACCCCUCUGCCCAGUGUUUCUAUAAGGGAUAAUCAAAACUGUUCAUGUUUCUAACGUAGAAUGAACCCUUUACACUCCCCUCCAGCCCAUACUGGAACAGACUGGGUGGUGGGGAAUUUGUUUUUCCCUUUCACCCCCUACCCUGACUCCUUGUUCUCUAAAGUAAGUAGUUAUGACAUUGAAUAAACAUUGCUGGGUCAAACUGACCAGGUUGCAAGUGAAAAGAAGAGUCUUCAAAAUUUGAUCUGCUCAGAAGAGUGACAAAAUAAUGUCUCCUAGCCUUGUAAAUACUAUGAUUAAAAGAUAACAAUGAGCCAGAUUCUCAGACUCAGAUCGUUGUCUCUAUUUCCCAGGUAA
This is a long non-coding RNA of Polyodon spathula (Mississippi paddlefish), 912 nucleotides long. RefSeq lists it as uncharacterized. Lineage: Eukaryota; Metazoa; Chordata; Actinopteri; Acipenseriformes; Polyodontidae. The record is from RefSeq and is a predicted model, not a curated record. The transcript is spliced from 3 exons.